Molecule: long non-coding RNA, 501 nt
Filed under: Zalophus californianus (California sea lion)
Lineage: Eukaryota; Metazoa; Chordata; Mammalia; Carnivora; Otariidae
Description: lncRNA (ENSZCAG00015003194.1)
Source: RNAcentral
UGUGCAGCCCUUUAUCGCUUAGUAGUCUCCAAAUGCUUCCUUCCUCUCCUUGGUGUCUGUCUUUCAGCCUUUUUUGGAUGAGUUUUGUGUCAACACCUCCAACUCUGGGACAUCGAUCAUGACCACACUGGCUGACUCAAGGACAUGCCUCUUCCUUUGAAGACAUAAAUCACUUCUGCUUUAUUAUGAGUAGGGCAGCGCAGCGAGAUAGAAAAAUUGAAGAUCAGGAUGAGCUCUGGUAGCAGUUGACAACCCUUCAUGAAGUGGAAUCUGAGCUGCGUUUUCAAAAAUGAGAAGAACUUAUCCUGAGAUGGAAUUUAAAAUCAAGACUUUCCUUGGGCAGUACUCUUAUUCCAGAUCUAGGUGGAAGGAAUACAUUUCUACCCUUUUGAGGGUGAGCAUGCUGAUGUGAUUUGCUUUGUCCUCUGAAAUUUUAAAAGGAUUUUAAGAGUCCAUGUGAUGCUCUCCAUGCUCUUCUGGUACAGCAUUUGUAGAAACACA